This 362-nucleotide unclassified non-coding RNA is filed under the name uncultured Chytridiomycota. RNAcentral's name for it is "sequence contains ITS1". The stretch from base 1 to 101 matches the Rfam family "5.8S ribosomal RNA", at positions 50 to 154 of the family's 154-position model. The record is from RNAcentral. Lineage: Eukaryota; Fungi; Chytridiomycota.
GAAAUGCGAUACGUAGUGUGAAUUGCAGAAUUCCGUGAAUCAUCGAAUCUUUGAACGCAUCUUGCACUCUGUUUCGGCAGAGUAUGCCUGUUUGAGAAUCUAUAGACUUCUUUAUCCGUAAGGGUAAGAUUUGAGCUCUUCACAGUGUGAACUGCUUUAAAACUAUAGCCUGGUACUGUAAUGUUUAUGGUAAGGUGCCAAAGUGUAUGAAGGGUUCGCCCACGUCCUUUGAAGCUGAACCUAAUUACGGCGCUUGGUCCACUGUGGUCCUAGUAGCAAUACGAAGACCCGCUUAGCCUAGUCUCUAGGGACUAGUCUGAAACUUUGGUCUCAAAUCAGGUAGGAAGACCCGCUGAACUUAA